This 1281-nucleotide long non-coding RNA is filed under the name Phaseolus vulgaris (common bean). RNAcentral describes it as "long non-coding RNA (PVUL_LNC000506)". The record is from RNAcentral. Lineage: Eukaryota; Viridiplantae; Streptophyta; Magnoliopsida; Fabales; Fabaceae.
CCAGGAGUUUCCGUUGUCCUUCAUAUGAAACAUGGCCUGAAGGUGACAUUGACAAAAAGAAGCAUCUGAGAUAAAGUAAUCUUAGUUUAUAAUAACUGAUUGUGUUCACCUUCUAUAUGUAAGGUUUGUAGUAAUGUUGAAAUUUAAUAAUUUGUAUUGUGUUCCCACCACAACAGCGCACUACUAUUGCGGUGAAACACAAGUUUACAUAACUCUUCAUAAUGUUUGAGACUCAUGCUGUCCUUCCCAAACCGAAAGACUCCCCACAGUUUUUCCCUCCUAUUAUUUCGUACUGUUCUUCUAAGUAACCGACUAACCAAUCGAAAAUUUCUUCAAAUUAUAGAAGUAAAAGGAUUAAAAGCCAACAACAAUGCCUUCCAUGCUAAACACCGGUUAUUCAAUUGUUUAUCUGAAAUGACAUACGAAGAUGACUCAACCAAAAGACCAUAUUAUAAUAAGCAAUACAAUUUCUCCCAUGUAUACAGUCCCUCCCUUCCCCAACUCAACAAUCUUACCGAUAUUUUGCCUCUGCCGCCACCUGCAUUAUUCCCUCCUGCAGCCUGAACAGCUUUCUUCGCCGCCUUCUCCUGCAAUGCUUUUGCAUCCCUGCACGCGAAGUAAACAUAAUGUCAGAUUGCAUCAUCCCUCGAUAUUACAACCAUUUUGCAGCCACAAUUGGUCGCAGCAUUCGGUGAUAAUUUUACCAACUUUCGUAAUUACUGUGGGUGCAUGAAUAUUUGCAAAUUCGUCAUUUUCUAGAACACGAUUCCUACAACAACAAAAAAAUCGUUUUUCAUGUAAAUUUAAACACGCAAAUUUCCAAUAGCAUAAACAGAGAAAGCGAACAAAAGCAACCUUUCCUGCGCUGUUGAGGAGUGAAACCAUCAUUCUUAAGGUGCUUGGAUUUUCCAGCAGCUCUUGCCUGAGCCCUUUCACGGUCUCGGUCCCUCUGGUUACCGCGUUCGCUUUAGUUAAGUCCAAACAACUGUAUUCAGUGAACAAAAAACUACUAACUUCCAUGACAAUUCAUUAAAAAGAAACGAAAACACAAAAAAACAAGACGACGGUCCAUAUGAAAGGAUAUGAGUCAUGCUUUGAGAGAUUGUUGAAAAACGAAAGGUGAAGGUAGAAACGAGGAAGACGAAACGCCCUGAAGAAGAAGAAAAGCAAAGUGAAUUGUGAGAGAAGAAAGUGAUGAAUGAAGUGAGAAGAUUAAUAUGAAGCAGAAUGAGUAAAAUAAAAGUGGUGUUGUUAUAUGCAAUGGAUGACUCUAGAUGGACC